UAGAGUUUGAUCCUGGCUCAGGAUGAAUGCUGGCGGCGUGCUUAACACAUGCAAGUCGAACGGGGCGGCGGGGAGGAAUCCCUUCGGGGAGGAGACCCCGCGGCCUAGUGGCGGACGGGUGAGUAACGCGUGGGCAACCUGCCCCAUACCGGGGGAUAACAGCCGGAAACGGCUGCUAACACCGCAUAAGCGCUGGGGGCCGCAUGGCACCCGGCGGAAAACUCCGGUGGUAUGGGAUGGGCCCGCGUCUGAUUAGGCAGUUGGCGGGGCAGCGGCCCACCAAACCGACGAUCAGUAGCCGGCCUGAGAGGGCGGCCGGCCACAUUGGGACUGAGACACGGCCCAGACUCCUGCGGGAGGCAGCAGUGGGGAAUAUUGCACAAUGGGGGGAACCCUGAUGCAGCGACGCCGCGUGGGCGAGGAAGUAUUUCGGUAUGUAAAGCCCUAUCGGCAGGGAAGAAGAAAUGACGGUACCUGAAUAAGAAGCACCGGCUAAAUACGUGCCAGCAGCCGCGGUAAUACGUAUGGUGCAAGCGUUAUCCGGAUUUACUGGGCGUAAAGGGAGCGCAGGCGGCGCGCCAAGUCUGAUGUGAAACCC
This 598-nucleotide ribosomal RNA is filed under the name uncultured bacterium. Its description in RNAcentral is "bacterial SSU rRNA". It matches the Rfam family "Bacterial small subunit ribosomal RNA", at positions 1 to 602 of the family's 1533-position model. The record is from RNAcentral.